Molecule: ribosomal RNA, 230 nt
Filed under: uncultured bacterium
Lineage: Bacteria
Description: partial 16S ribosomal RNA
Rfam family: Bacterial small subunit ribosomal RNA
Source: RNAcentral
UGAGCAACCUGCCCUUAGCUCUGGGAUAACCCCGGGAAACCGGGGCUAAUACCGGAUACGAGUCCGAGCGGCAUCACACGGACUGGAAAGUUUUUCGGCUAAGGAUGGGCUCGCGGCCUAUCAGCUUGUUGGUGGGGUAAUGGCCUACCAAGGCGACGACGGGUAGUCGGCCUGAGAGGGCGACCGGCCACACUGGGACUGAGACACGGCCCAGACUCCUACGGGAGGCA